Molecule: ribosomal RNA, 605 nt
Filed under: Fellozyma sp.
Lineage: Eukaryota; Fungi; Basidiomycota; Microbotryomycetes; Chrysozymaceae
Description: partial large subunit ribosomal RNA
Rfam family: Eukaryotic large subunit ribosomal RNA
Source: RNAcentral
GCGGAGGAAAAGAAACUAACAAGGAUUCCCCUAGUAACGGCGAGUGAAGCGGGAAGAGCUCAAAUUUGUAAUCUGGCACCUUCGGUGUCCGAGUUGUAAUCUCGAGAAGUGUUUUCCGCGCCGGACCGCAUAUAAGUCUGUUGGAAUACAGCGUCAUAGUGGUGAGAACCCCGUAACUGAUGCGGAUGCCCGGUGCUUUGUGAUACACUUUCGAAGAGUCGAGUUGUUUGGGAAUGCAGCUCAAAUUGGGUGGUAAAUUCCAUCUAAAGCUAAAUAUUGGCGAGAGACCGAUAGCGAACAAGUACCGUGAGGGAAAGAUGAAAAGCACUUUGGAAAGAGAGUUAACAGUACGUGAAAUUGUUGGAAGGGAAACGCUUGAAGUCAGACUUGCUAUUUGGAGUUCAGCCGCAAGGUGUAUUCUUCGAUUUGCAGGCCAGCAUCAGUUUUCUGGGGUGGAAAAGGGUAUUGAGAAGGUAGCAGUUUCGGCUGUGUUAUAGCUCUUUGCUGGAUUCAUCCUGGGGGACUGAGGAACGCAGCGCGCUUUUUGCAAGGCCUUCGGGCUUUUCGUGCUUAGGAUGCUGGUGGAAUGGCUUUAAACGACCCGU